GCUAGCAUAGCUAAGUGGAUAAAACGUGCAACUCCUAAUUGCACGGUAGGGGUUCGAUUCCCCUCGCUGACG
Molecule: transfer RNA, 72 nt
Filed under: Marchantia polymorpha subsp. ruderalis
Lineage: Eukaryota; Viridiplantae; Streptophyta; Marchantiopsida; Marchantiales; Marchantiaceae
Rfam family: tRNA
About the family: Transfer RNA (tRNA) molecules are approximately 80 nucleotides in length. Their secondary structure includes four short double-helical elements and three loops (D, anti-codon, and T loops).
Source: Rfam by way of RNAcentral